GAUGAACGCUAGCUACAGGCUUAACACAUGCAAGUCGAGGGGCAGCAUGCAGGUAGCUUGCUAUCUGUGAUGGCGACCGGCGCACGGGUGAGUAACGCGUGGGUAACCUGCCCUGUACAGGGGGAUAACAGUUAGAAAUGACUGCUAAUACCGCAUAAGCGCACAGUACCGCAUGGUACAGUGUGAAAAACUCCGGUGGUACAGGAUGGACCCGCGUCUGAUUAGCUAGUUGGCAGGGUAACGGCCUACCAAGGCAACGAUCAGUAGCCGACUUGAGAGAGUGAUCGGCCACAUUGGGACUGAGACACGGCCCAAACUCC
RNAcentral lists this ribosomal RNA (320 nucleotides) under uncultured Lachnospiraceae bacterium. Its description in RNAcentral is "bacterial SSU rRNA". It matches the Rfam family "Bacterial small subunit ribosomal RNA", at positions 28 to 339 of the family's 1533-position model. The record is from RNAcentral. Lineage: Bacteria; Bacillati; Bacillota; Clostridia; Lachnospirales; Lachnospiraceae.